ACAGAUCUUGAAAAUAAAAGAAGAAGGACUUUAGGAUUUUUUAGAAAUCCUAGAAAUAAGAAGGCUUGGAAAGGGAUCUGGUCUCGAACAAGUCUGAGCCAUAUAUAUGCUAUUGAGGCUCGAACAUGUAGGAACGGAGCCGGAGAGGCCAUAGGACCUCAGAACUGUAGAAGAUCUGAACGGGCUUCGAUGAGGUUGAACCUCGAAAACCUUGAACCACCACGAUUUGGGGUGAAGUGAAGUAAGCACAGGCCGUCCAUGGCCUGAGAAGCCAUGGACUCCAGUGGGAUUUAGUCAGAGAAGACGAUAGAGGCGGCUAGGGUUUCGAGUGUUAGAGAGAAUUUGAGAGGAAGUGAGGGUUCAGAGGCGGC
RNAcentral lists this long non-coding RNA (371 nucleotides) under Nicotiana benthamiana. RNAcentral describes it as "long non-coding RNA (NBEN_LNC008623)". The record is from RNAcentral. Lineage: Eukaryota; Viridiplantae; Streptophyta; Magnoliopsida; Solanales; Solanaceae.